RNAcentral lists this ribosomal RNA (446 nucleotides) under uncultured bacterium. RNAcentral describes it as "partial 16S ribosomal RNA". It matches the Rfam family "Bacterial small subunit ribosomal RNA", at positions 338 to 795 of the family's 1533-position model. The record is from RNAcentral.
CCUACGGGGGGCAGCAGUCGAGAAUCAUUCACAAUGGGGGAAACCCUGAUGGUGCGACGCCGCGUGGGGGAAUGAAGGUCUUCGGAUUGUAAACCCCUGUCAUGUGGGAGCAAAUUAAAAAGAUAGUACCACAAGAGGAAGAGACGGCUAACUCUGUGCCAGCAGCCGCGGUAAUACAGAGGUCUCAAGCGUUGUUCGGAAUCACUGGGCGUAAAGCGUGCGUAGGCUGUUUCGUAAGUCGUGUGUGAAAGGUGCGGGCUCAACCCGCGGACGGCACAUGAUACUGCGAGACUAGAGUAAUGGAGGGGGAACCGGAAUUCUUGGUGUAGCAGUGAAAUGCGUAGAUAUCGAGAGGAACACUCGUGGCGAAGGCGGGUUCCUGGACAUUAACUGACGCUGAGGCACGAAGGCCAGGGGAGCGAAAGGGAUUAGAUACCCGAGUAGUC